AGAUUGAACGCUGGCGGCAGGCCUAACACAUGCAAGUCGAGCGGCAGCACGGGUACUUGUACCUGGUGGCGAGCGGCGGACGGGUGAGUAAUGCCUAGGAAUCUGCCUGGUAGUGGGGGAUAACGCUCGGAAACGGACGCUAAUACCGCAUACGUCCUACGGGAGAAAGCAGGGGACCUUCGGGCCUUGCGCUAUCAGAUGAGCCUAGGUCGGAUUAGCUAGUUGGUGAGGUAAUGGCUCACCAAGGCGACGAUCCGUAACUGGUCUGAGAGGAUGAUCAGUCACACUGGUACUGAGACACGGUCCAGACUCCUACGGGAGGCAGCAGUGGGGAAUAUUGGACAAUGGGCGAAAGCCUGAUCCAGCCAUGCCGCGUGUGUGAAGAAGGUCUUCGGAUUGUAAAGCACUUUAAGUGGAGAAGGCAGUUACCUAAUACGUAUCUGUUUUGACGUUACCGACAGAAUAAGCACCGGCU
RNAcentral lists this ribosomal RNA (475 nucleotides) under uncultured soil bacterium. Its description in RNAcentral is "bacterial SSU rRNA". It matches the Rfam family "Bacterial small subunit ribosomal RNA", at positions 26 to 498 of the family's 1533-position model. The record is from RNAcentral.